This 253-nucleotide ribosomal RNA is filed under the name uncultured bacterium. Its description in RNAcentral is "partial 16S ribosomal RNA". It matches the Rfam family "Bacterial small subunit ribosomal RNA", at positions 524 to 776 of the family's 1533-position model. The record is from RNAcentral.
GCCAGAGGGUGCAAGCGUUGUUCGGAAUUACUGGGCGUAAAGCGUGUGUAGGCGGCUACCUACGUCGGAUGUGAAAGCCCCGGGCUCAACCCGGGAAGUGCACUCGAUACUGCGUAGCUUGAGUCUCGGAGAGGUUGGUGGAAUUCUCGGUGUAGAGGUGAAAUUCGUAGAUAUCGAGAGGAACACCGGUGGCGAAGGCGGCCAACUGGACGAAGACUGACGCUGAGACACGAAAGCGUGGGGAGCAAACAGG